UUUGAUCCUGGCUCAGAUUGAACGCUGGCGGCAGGCUUAACACAUGCAAGUCGAGCGGUAGCACAGGGGAGCUUGCUCCCUGGGUGACGAGCGGCGGACGGGUGAGUAAUGUCUGGGAAACUGCCUGAUGGAGGGGGAUAACUACUGGAAACGGUAGCUAAUACCGCAUAACGUCGCAAGACCAAGGAGGGGGACCUUCGGGCCUCUUGCCAUCAGAUGUGCCCAGAUGGGAUUAGCUAGUAUGUGGGGUAAUGGCUCACCUAGGCGACGAUCCCUAGCUGGUCUGAGAGGAUGACCAGCCACACUGGAACUGAGACACGGUCCAGACUCCUACGGGAGGCAGCAGUGGGGAAUAUUGCACAAUGGGCGCAAGCCUGAUGCAGCCAUGCCGCGUGUGUGAAGAAGGCCUUCGGGUUGUAAAGCACUUUCAGCGAGGAGGAAGGUGGUGAGCUUAAUACGCUCAUCAAUUGACGUUACUCGCAGAAGAAGCACCGGCUAACUCCGUGCCAGCAGCCGCGGUAAUACGGAGGGUGCAAGCGUUAAUCGGAAUUACUGGGCGUAAAGCGCACGCAGGCGGUUUGUUAAGUCAGAUGUGAAAUCCCCGGGCUCAACCUGGGAACUGCAUUUGAAACUGGCAAGCUAGAGUCUCGUAUAGGGGGGUAGAAUUCCAGGUGUAGCGGUGAAAUGCGUAGAGAUCUGGAGGAAUACCGGUGGCGAACGCGGCCCCCUGGACGAAGACUGACGCUCAGGUGCGAAAGCGUGCGGAGCAAACACGAUUAGAUACCCUGGUAGUCCACGCUGUA
This 803-nucleotide ribosomal RNA is filed under the name uncultured Serratia sp. RNAcentral describes it as "bacterial SSU rRNA". It matches the Rfam family "Bacterial small subunit ribosomal RNA", at positions 12 to 804 of the family's 1533-position model. Lineage: Bacteria; Pseudomonadati; Pseudomonadota; Gammaproteobacteria; Enterobacterales; Yersiniaceae. The record is from RNAcentral.